This 248-nucleotide unclassified non-coding RNA is filed under the name plant metagenome. RNAcentral's name for it is "partial contains small subunit ribosomal RNA and internal transcribed spacer 1". The stretch from base 1 to 46 matches the Rfam family "Eukaryotic small subunit ribosomal RNA", at positions 1786 to 1831 of the family's 1831-position model. The record is from RNAcentral.
AAGUCGUAACAAGGUUUCCGUAGGUGAACCUGCGGAAGGAUCAUUACCUGAGGCCUCGGGCCGUUCCCGGGGGGGCGCAGGGUGUGGAGACUCUCCGCGCCCUGCGCCCCCCCGGGAGCGCUUAGCCCCUGACUAUCACCUUGACUAUGCGCACCCUUGUUGUUCCCUCGGCAGUCCGCUGCCGCCAGGGACCACGAGACCCCUUGCAUCAGCAUUAAACCUCUGAAAACAAACCUAAUUAUUUACAA